UACGUAGGGCGUAAGCGUUAUCCGGAAUUAUUGGGCGUAAAGAGCUCGUAGGCGGUUUGUCGCGUCUGCCGUGAAAGUCCGGGGCUCAACUCCGGAUCUGCGGUGGGUACGGGCAGACUAGAGUGAUGUAGGGGAGACUGGAAUUCCUGGUGUAGCGGUGAAAUGCGCAGAUAUCAGGAGGAACACCAAUAGCGAAGGCAGCUCGCUGGGACGUUACUGACACUAAGGCGCGAAAGCGUGGGGAGCGAACAGG
This 253-nucleotide ribosomal RNA is filed under the name uncultured bacterium. RNAcentral's name for it is "partial 16S ribosomal RNA". It matches the Rfam family "Bacterial small subunit ribosomal RNA", at positions 524 to 776 of the family's 1533-position model. The record is from RNAcentral.